GAACGCUAGCUACAGGCUUAACACAUGCAAGUCGAGGGGCAGCAUGGUCUUAGCUUGCUAAGGCCGAUGGCGACCGGCGCACGGGUGAGUAACGCGUAUCCAACCUGCCUUACACUCUUGGACAGCCUUCUGAAAGGGAGAUUAAUACAAGAUGUUAUCAUGAGUAAGCAUUUUCGCAUGAUUAAAGGUUUACCGGUGUAAGAUGGGGAUGCGUUCCAUUAGAUAGUAGGCGGGGUAACGGCCCACCUAGUCUUCGAUGGAUAGGGGUUCUGAGAGGAAGGUCCCCCACAUUGGAACUGAGACACGGUCCAAACUCCUACGGGAGGCAGCAGUGAGGAAUAUUGGUCAAUGGACGAGAGUCUGAACCAGCCAAGUAGCGUGAAGGAUGAAGGUUCUAUGGAUUGUAAACUUCUUUUAUACGGGAAUAAACGGAUCCACGUGUGGAUUUUUGCAUGUACCGUAUGAAUAAGGAUCGGCUAACUCCGUGCCAGCAGCCGCGGUAAUACGGAGGAUCCGAGCGUUAUCCGGAUUUAUUGGGUUUAAAGGGAGCGUAGAUGGGUUGUUAAGUCAGUUGUGAAAGUUUGCGGCUCAACCGUAAAAUUGCAAUUGAUACUGGCAGUCUUGAGUACAGUUGAGGUAGGCGGAAUUCGUGGUGUAGCGGUGAAAUGCUUAGAUAUCACGAAGAACUCCGAUUGCGAAGGCAGCUUACUAACCUGUAACUGACAUUGAUGCUCGAAAGUGUGGGUAUCAAACAGGAUUAGAUACCCUGGUAGUCCACACGGUAAACGAUGAAUACUCGCUGUAGGCGAUAUACAGUCUGCGGCCAAGCGAAAGCAUUAAGUAUUCCACCUGGGGAGUACGCCGGCAACGGUGAAACUCAAAGGAAUUGACGGGGGCCCGCACAAGCGGAGGAACAUGUGGUUUAAUUCGAUGAUACGCGAGGAACCUUACCCGGGCUUAAAUUGCAACCGAAUAUGGCGGAAACGCUAUAGCUAGCAAUAGCGGUUGUGAAGGUGCUGCAUGGUUGUCGUCAGCUCGUGCCGUGAGGUGUCGGCUUAAGUGCCAUAACGAGCGCAACCCUUGCCGAUAGUUACUAACAGGUCAUGCUGAGGACUCUGUCGGGACUGCCAUCGUAAGAUGUGAGGAAGGUGGGGAUGACGUCAAAUCAGCACGGCCCUUACGUCCGGGGCUACACACGUGUUACAAUGGGGGGUACAGAGGGCUGCUACCACGCAAGUGGAUGCCAAUCCCAAAAACCUCUCUCAGUUCGGAUUGAAGUCUGCAACCCGACUUCAUGAAGCUGGAUUCGCUAGUAAUCGCGCAUCAGCCACGGCGCGGUGAAUACGUUCCCGGGCCUUGUACACACCGCCCGUCAAGCCAUGGGAGCCGGGGGUACCUGAAGUGCGUAACCGCAAGGAGCGCCCUAGGGUAAAACUGGA
RNAcentral lists this ribosomal RNA (1439 nucleotides) under uncultured organism. Its description in RNAcentral is "SSU rRNA". It matches the Rfam family "Bacterial small subunit ribosomal RNA". The record is from RNAcentral.